RNAcentral lists this ribosomal RNA (497 nucleotides) under uncultured bacterium. RNAcentral describes it as "partial 16S ribosomal RNA". It matches the Rfam family "Bacterial small subunit ribosomal RNA", at positions 28 to 507 of the family's 1533-position model. The record is from RNAcentral.
GAUGAACGCUGGCGGCGUGCCUAAUACAUGCAAGUCGAGCGAACAGAUAAGGAGCUUGCUCCUUUGACGUUAGCGGCGGACGGGUGAGUAACACGUGGGUAACCUACCUAUAAGACUGGGAUAACUUCGGGAAACCGGAGCUAAUACCGGAUAACAUUUGGAACCGCAUGGUUCUAAAGUGAAAGAUGGUUUUGCUAUCACUUAUAGAUGGACCCGCGCCGUAUUAGCUAGUUGGUAAGGUAACGGCUUACCAAGGCGACGAUACGUAGCCGACCUGAGAGGGUGAUCGGCCGCACUGGAACUGAGACACGGUCCAGACUCCUACGGGAGGCAGCAGUAGGGAAUCUUCCGCAAUGGGCGAAAGCCUGACGGAGCAACGCCGCGUGAGUGAUGAAGGGUUUCGGCUCGUAAAACUCUGUUAUUAGGGAAGGACAAAUGUGUAAGUAACUGUGCACGUCUUGACGGUACCUAAUCAGAAAGCCACGGCUAACUACGUG